RNAcentral lists this ribosomal RNA (380 nucleotides) under Salmonella enterica subsp. enterica serovar Lubbock. RNAcentral's name for it is "bacterial SSU rRNA". It matches the Rfam family "Bacterial small subunit ribosomal RNA", at positions 1151 to 1530 of the family's 1533-position model. Lineage: Bacteria; Pseudomonadati; Pseudomonadota; Gammaproteobacteria; Enterobacterales; Enterobacteriaceae. The record is from RNAcentral.
GCCGGUGACAAACCGGAGGAAGGUGGGGAUGACGUCAAAUCAUCAUGCCCCUUAUGACCUGGGCUACACACGUGCUACAAUGGACGGUACAAUGAGUCGCGAGACCGCGAGGUUUAGCUAAUCUCUUAAAGCCGUUCUCAGUUCGGAUUGUAGGCUGCAACUCGCCUACAUGAAGCCGGAAUCGCUAGUAAUCGUGGAUCAGCACGCCACGGUGAAUACGUUCCCGGGCCUUGUACACACCGCCCGUCACACCACGAGAGUUUGUAACACCCAAAGUCGGUGAGGUAACCUUUUGGAGCCAGCCGCCUAAGGUGGGAUAGAUGAUUGGGGUGAAGUCGUAACAAGGUAGCCGUAUCGGAAGGUGCGGCUGGAUCACCUCC